This 409-nucleotide ribosomal RNA is filed under the name uncultured bacterium. RNAcentral describes it as "bacterial SSU rRNA". It matches the Rfam family "Bacterial small subunit ribosomal RNA", at positions 505 to 916 of the family's 1533-position model. The record is from RNAcentral.
GUGCCAGCAGCCGCGGCAAGACAGAGGUGGCGAGCGUUGUUCGGAAUCACUGGGCUUAAAGGGCGCGUAGGUGGUAGUGCAAGUCUGGGGUGGAAUCCUAUGGCUUAACCAUAGAAUUGCCUUGGAAACUGUAUUACUUGAGUCAGUGAGGGGAGGGUAGAAUUCCUGGUGUAGCGGUGAAAUGCGUAGAUAUCAGGAGGAAGGCCGGUGGCGAAGGCGGCCCUCUGGCGCUGAACUGACACUGAGGCGCGAAAGCGUGGGGAGCAAACAGGAUUAGAUACCCUGGUAGUCCACGCCGUAAACGAUGGACACUAGCUGUCGGGGCGCAGGCCUCGGCGGCCAAGCGAAAGUGAUAAGUGUCCCACCUGGGGAGUACGGCCGCAAGGCUGAAACUCAAAGGAAUUGGCGG